AAACUGAGGAUAAUACUGGAUAGGCAAUUAUUCCUGCAAUGGUUUUUUGUUUAAAUGUUUUUUCGCCUAAGGAUGGGUCUGCGGCCGAUUAGGUAGUUGGUUAGGUAAUGGCUUACCAAGCCAUUGAUCGGUACGGGUUGUGAGAGCAAGAGCCCGGAGAUGGAACCUGAGACAAGGUUCCAGGCCCUACGGGGUGCAGCAGGCGCGAAACCUCCGCAAUGUGAGAAAUCGCGACGGGGGGGAUCCCAAGUGCCAUUCUUAACGGGAUGGCUUUUCAUUAGUGUAAAGAGCUUUUGGAAUAAGAGCUGGGCAAGACCGGUGCCAGCCGCCGCGGUAACACCGGCAGCUCUAGUGGUAGCAGUUUUUAUUGGGCCUAAAGCGUCCGUAGCCGGUUUAAUAAGUCUCUGGUGAAAUCCUGUAGCUUAACUGUGGGAAUUGCUGGAGAUACUAUUAGACUUGAGAUCGGGAGAGGUUAGAGGUACUCCCAGGGUAGAGGUGAAAUUCUGUAAUCCUGCGAGGACCGCCUGUUGCGAAGGCUUCUAACUGGAACGAUUCUGACGGUGAGGGACGAAAGUUAGGGGCGCGAACCGGAUUAGAUUACCGGGUAGUCCUAACUGUAAACGAUGCGGACUUGGUG
RNAcentral lists this ribosomal RNA (637 nucleotides) under uncultured rumen archaeon. RNAcentral describes it as "bacterial SSU rRNA". It matches the Rfam family "Archaeal small subunit ribosomal RNA", at positions 137 to 773 of the family's 1478-position model. The record is from RNAcentral.